GCAUAUUUAUGUUAAAGUUUAACAUGAUUUAAGUCAAUAAUUGACCUAGAAAUGAGCAACGUUAGAGUAAUCCUUAAAUGAGUAUGUACUUUAACGAUGUCAGCUUGGCUAAUGGGUAGGGGUGUGAUGAAGCCGGUGCCCAGGCCACCGCGCAGCCCUGGCUUAGGCUUGCUCUUUUCCUGACGUGUUGUGUAUGGGGAAAUGCAGGGGGGGGAUUUAAGGAUUUAGGAAUGCAAAGACGUCACGCAGGAUGGUCAGGAAACGGUGCUGCUGUUUGCAGGUGGGUGGCCAUGUGAUGGGGCAGCAGGGAGUCUGCAGCUGCUAGCAGCCAGUCCCCUUCUGUCCCCAUUGCUGUCCAGCGCAGGGGAUCUCGGGCAGGGCCAUGUUCCCCAUGAGAUAUCACAAAAUAGGGUCGAAAAUCAUGACAUGUAGCCCAUCCGUCCAGGCACCUCCUCAUCCAUGCGUUAGGAGAAAUGCGCUCCUGCACAUGUUACCGCUGUGGGACACCAGCUCGGAGCAGGGCUGACUAACCAUGCCUUUUCACUAACAUCUGCCCUUCGCUCCUCGCCUGGCUGUGGUCUGUGCUGUGCAGAGCGGCUCCCAUGGAGCAGAGCAGAGUACAUGUGGCUGGUUCCGUGGGGCAGCCCCAGGCCUGCAGAAGAUUUUGGAGGGGCCAGGGCCAGCACAGAGGGCAUGGGCACCGUGGGAGGAGGAGGGCUUGUGGUGGAAAUAGUCACUGGCAUCUCCUCACCUGAAGGAAGCCUUUCCUGGGGAGCCUUCUGCUGCCAUAACGUAACUGGAGAAGUGUUGCCUUCCCAGACGUGCCCGUGUGUGGAAUGCUGGAAUCCCCUUGUUAGGAUCAAGAUCUCUGAGGAUGCUGAAGGUUACCCAAAGAAGAGAUCUGUCAGUGUGCUCAGCUCUGUGGCAAGGGAAGGAGGUAAUGCGCACUGCCACGAGGGAGAGGACAGCCCGGUGAGGAGCUGCCACAAAUACCACCUGCUCAACAGAGUGGACAGCGAUGCCUGUGCUUG
Long non-coding RNA from Gallus gallus (chicken), 1031 nucleotides. Lineage: Eukaryota; Metazoa; Chordata; Aves; Galliformes; Phasianidae. The record is from Ensembl.